GAUGAACGCUGGCGGCGUGCCUAAUACAUGCAAGUCGAGCGAACGGACGAGAAGCUUGCUUCUCUGAUGUUAGCGGCGGACGGGUGAGUAACACGUGGAUAACCUACCUAUAAGACUGGGAUAACUUCGGGAAACCGGAGCUAAUACCGGAUAAUAUUUUGAACCGCAUGGUUCAAAAGUGAAAGACGGUCUUGCUGUCACUUAUAGAUGGAUCCGCGCUGCAGUAGCUAGUUGGUAAGGUAACGGCUUACCAAGGCAACGAUGCAUAGCCGACCUGAGAGGGUGAUCGGCCACACGGGAACUGAGACACGGUCCAGACUCCUACGGGAGGCAGCAGUAGGGAAUCUUCCGCAAUGGGCGAAAGCCUGACGGAGCAACGCCGCGUGAGUGAUGAAGGUCUUCGGAUCGUAAAACUCUGUUAUUAGGGAAGAACAUAUGUGUAAGUAACUGUGCACAUCUUGACGGUACCUAAUCAGAAAGCCACGGCUAACUACGUG
RNAcentral lists this ribosomal RNA (497 nucleotides) under uncultured bacterium. RNAcentral's name for it is "partial 16S ribosomal RNA". It matches the Rfam family "Bacterial small subunit ribosomal RNA", at positions 28 to 507 of the family's 1533-position model. The record is from RNAcentral.